GUAAAUGCUGUGAUAAGAAAUAGUAGCAUAAAGUAAACUAACAGAGAAAAAUCCUCCUAGCUGAAAGGGAUUUUUAGUAUAACUUGUGUGAAUGCAUCUUUGAGCACUGUCUUGAAAUAUAGUAGACGACAGCGUGUACGCCCGUUAAAGCGUUGAGGUAUGUAUGUACCAAAAUGAGAUAUCAUUGUAUAUUUUUAUUAUACAUAUGAUAAUUAGAGUGGAACCGCGGAAGUUAACUUCUGCCUCUAAG
Molecule: non-coding RNA, 250 nt
Filed under: Clostridium sp.
Lineage: Bacteria; Bacillati; Bacillota; Clostridia; Eubacteriales; Clostridiaceae
Description: T-box sequence
Rfam family: T-box leader
About the family: Uncharged tRNA acts as the effector for transcription antitermination of genes in the T-box leader family. T-boxes are found upstream of many aminoacyl-tRNA synthetase genes and some amino acid biosynthetic genes usually in Gram-positive bacteria.
Source: RNAcentral